This 75-nucleotide transfer RNA is filed under the name Burkholderiaceae bacterium. RNAcentral's name for it is "tRNA-Ser". The record is from RNAcentral. Lineage: Bacteria; Pseudomonadati; Pseudomonadota; Betaproteobacteria; Burkholderiales; Burkholderiaceae.
UGCUGCAUUGGUCGGCGGAAGAAGACCGCGCGAUCGAGGCGCGCGUGGCAUCGAUCCUCGCCGACGUGAAGCAGC